UUGUGCCAUGAAUGAUCUUUCGCAAAAACAUAUUCAAGUACAUGUCUUGGUGCACUUGAUCUCAAGAAAUUCUAUUCCAUGUUAAGAUGUAAAUGUUCGUUAGUCCUUUUGAGACUGUUGGUGAAAAUCGGUUCUUUUAAGUUCAGUGUGUGCUUCAGAUUUUUUUAUAGGCUGUAUCAAUGUGAAGAAAUGGUGUUUAUAGCAAGAAAAAGCUACCAGUAGCUUAAGCCCCAAAGUAAUUCCUUCUCACUGGUUGGGUUCAUGUUGAUUUUUGUUUGACCUAAACCUGUCCCAAAAAAUAAUGAAAAGGAGGCACCGUUACCUCCUCCGUCAAGACUGAGUACGAUUUCGUUCGCCAACGUUGCACAACAGCCUUCCGGUGUUGAAUUUGAUCUAUUAGCUGUGGUGGAAAACUGUGGGGCAAUGCAAUACACCGCUGAUCAGAGUAAGAGAUUUCAAGAGGCCAUAGUUAUGGACAAAAUGAAGAAACCUCUCUUCUUCACUAUAUGGGAAGACUUGGCAAGCAAUGAAGGAGCUGAGUUACUGAGACAAAUGAGGCAACUGCAAGAAUAUCCUAUUAUUCUGGCGAAGCGGAUAGGUACCACAAAAUAUCAGGGUGGAUAAAUGAGAACAAACAAAUGCUAAUCGAAUAUACAGUGAAGAGUUCAGCAGAGUCAGCUUCAUCGCUUAAUCUUGUAGCUGUUGACGAAGAAAUAUUAUCUGUUUCAACUAUUGCUACGCAGACCUCCACCGUGAGUUCACUAAAUUACAAAAUAAAAUGCCGAAAACUGCCACACCAUGUAUCUUUUAUACAAUAUGGAUAACAGUUCAAUAAAUUUUAUUAUGAGGAUUCGUAUACAAAAAUUAUUUUUAGUGUUC
Nicotiana attenuata is the source of this 879-nucleotide long non-coding RNA. RefSeq lists it as uncharacterized. NCBI's taxonomy places the organism in Eukaryota, Viridiplantae, Streptophyta, Magnoliopsida, Solanales, Solanaceae. The record is from RefSeq and is a predicted model, not a curated record. The transcript is spliced from 6 exons.